Molecule: ribosomal RNA, 253 nt
Filed under: uncultured bacterium
Lineage: Bacteria
Description: partial 16S ribosomal RNA
Rfam family: Bacterial small subunit ribosomal RNA
Source: RNAcentral
UACAGAGGGGGCAAGCGUUAUUCGGAAUUAUUGGGCGUAAAGGGCGCAUAGGCGGCAUGGCAAGUGGAUGGUGAAAUCCCUCGGCUUAACCGAGGAACUGCCGUCCAAACUGCUUCGCUUGAGACCGGGAGAGGUGAGUGGAAUUCCCAGUGUAGCGGUGAAAUGCGUAGAUAUUGGGAGGAACACCAGUGGCGAAGGCGGCUCACUGGACCGGUACUGACGCUGAAGCGCGAAAGCGUGGGGAGCAAACGGG